AGUGCAUAGUUAAACUAUGGAACUCCCUGCCACAGAAGGCAGUGAUGGCCACCAGUCUAGAAGGCUUUGAAAGAGGAUCAGAUCAGGCAAAUUCAUGGAGGUCAGAGGCAGUGAAUGCUUAAGAAUUCCAGUUGCUCUUGUGCUCUGGUUGCAGGUUUCCCACAGGCAUCUUGGCAGCCACUGUGAGAACAGGAUGAUGGACUAGAUGGGCCAUUGGCCUGAUCCAGCAGGCUAUUCUUGUGUUCUUAAAUGCAUGGUGUGGAUGGUGCCAAAUGCCUUAGUUUGAAACCACUGAGGAAAGAAGCAGGCAUCUCCUGCCACCUUGUGGGAAAUCAGCCAGUAUACAUCUGCCUGAUUAGCCCAGGAGUCAGCAACCUUUUUCAGCUGUGGGCCAGUCCACCAUCCCUCAGACCAUGUGGUGGGCCGGACUAUAUUUGGGGGUGGGGAGGAAGAAGAACACAUUCCUAUGCCCCACAAAUAACCCAGAGAUGCAUUUUAAAUAAAAGGCAACAUUCUACAGUGGUACCUUGGGUUACAUACGCUAAGGUUACAUAUGCUUCAGGUUACAGACUCUGCUAACCCAGAAAUAUUACCUCGGGUUAAGAACUUUGCUUCAGGAUGAGAACAGAAAUCGUGCGGUGGCAGCGGGAGGCCCCAUUAGCUAAAGUGGUGCUUCUGGUUAAGAACAGCUUCAGAUUAAGAACGGAUCUCCAGAACGAAUUAAGUUCUUAACCCGAGGUACCACUGUACUCAUGUAAAAACACCAGGCAGGCCCCACAAAUAACCCAGAGGUGCAUUUUAAAUAAAAGGACACAUUCUACUCAUGAACAAGGGGCAUCUAGUCCAGUUGCCUGCAAAACAGGAAUCCAAUUCAAGAAUCCCUUGCAAAUGGCCACCCAACCUCUGUGUAUAAAAAACCUCCAAAGAAGGAGAGUCCACUGUUACGCUAUAGAAGCAACGCAGCUGCAAACUGAUAGCUUGAAAACAUCACAUGAUGGGAAUGGUGGGACUGACUGUGGGAAACGGUGGGACAGUCAGUUCACAGGGCAAUGCACCGGAAUUUGCUCAGAGUGUAAUUUGAGACCUUCCUCUUGCGUAUGCACAGGAAGUAUUUGUCACUUGCUGGAAGGAGUUUGAAGUAAACGGACAUGUUUUCUGUAGUGCUGAAAAGUCUAAAUAAAAGCAUGUAAAAUAGAUGUUUCUGUCUAUCUCCUUUCCCUGCUGGGGAGCAGGUGGGAGGGGGUGUGCAUCUCCCACACUGGGAGGUGUCGCCUAUUGAGACCUAGCCUGGAUCCUGCGG
This is a non-coding RNA of Podarcis lilfordi (Lilford's wall lizard), 1300 nucleotides long. NCBI's taxonomy places the organism in Eukaryota, Metazoa, Chordata, Lepidosauria, Squamata, Lacertidae. The record is from the annotation of a GenBank genome assembly.